GGGGGGGGGGGUCAUAGUGCACUACACUUCACACAACGAAUAAAGCAAAUGUUUCUCUAUUUAAAGGGUUCUCAAAGACUUAAACAAUUUCAUUAUGUCUAAACUAAUGUAGAAUUUGUUUAAACCAUUUACAAAUGAAUAGGGAGAUACGGCAUGCAUGAACCAAAUGUUCAUAGUGAAUUUAUGUCUUUAGUAGAUUUGUCUCAUUGCGAUUUUAUAUAAAAAAAAAAAUUCUAUACCAAAAAAAAUGAUUUUUAUGCAAGUUUUACUCAGUGAUGACACAGCACAGACACUUUUUUAUGAAAGAAAAUGGCAUUAUGCCUUUUAUAUGCGCAAUGCUAGACGGUGUUGUCGUAGAAGUUAGAAAAAA
Molecule: long non-coding RNA, 370 nt
Filed under: Mytilus galloprovincialis (Mediterranean mussel)
Lineage: Eukaryota; Metazoa; Mollusca; Bivalvia; Mytilida; Mytilidae
Source: RNAcentral